ACCCUUCUGCAUAAAACGAAGUCUGCUAUAAUUGUGUGACUCAAAUUUUUGUUUCAUGCAAUAAUGCUAGCAGAGUAUUGCGUGGAAGGAGAUCAAAACUCACUGUACUGAAAAUGGGAUGUGGUCGAACCUCUUUCUUAAUGUUCAUUGGCCUCUGUCUCAAGGUGCAGUGACACAACU
Small nucleolar RNA from Cyclopterus lumpus (lumpfish), 180 nucleotides. Ensembl annotates it as small nucleolar RNA, H/ACA box 81. Its record names the gene SNORA81. NCBI's taxonomy places the organism in Eukaryota, Metazoa, Chordata, Actinopteri, Perciformes, Cyclopteridae. The record is from Ensembl.